Molecule: ribosomal RNA, 253 nt
Filed under: uncultured bacterium
Lineage: Bacteria
Description: partial 16S ribosomal RNA
Rfam family: Bacterial small subunit ribosomal RNA
Source: RNAcentral
UACAUGUGGGGCAAGCGUUGUUCGGAAUUACUGGGCAUAAAGGGUGCGUAGGUGGUUUGUUAAGUCUGAUGUGAAAGCCCACGGCUCAACCGUGAAGGGUCAUUGGAAACUGGGGAACUUGAGUGCAGAAGAGGAAAGUGGAAUUCCAAGUGUAGCAGUGAAAUGCGUAGAGAUUUGGAGGAACACCAGUGGCGAAGGCGACUUUCUGGUCUGUAACUGACACUGAGGCGCGAAAGCGUGGGGAGCAAACAGG